AUGGAGUUUGGUUUGGACAAAUGUUCGACAGUGGCAUUGAAGAAGGGAAAAAUCAUUGAAAGUGAGGGCAUAAAUAUGUCCAAUGGCCAAACAAUAAAGUGUCACCAGCCAGAGGCCUAUAAAUAUCUGGGCAUACUACAGCUGGACAACAUCAAGCAUGAACAUGUGAAAACUGUGGUCAGCAAAGAAUACACACAAAGGGUCAGAAAAAUUCUCAAAAGCAAGCUCAAUGGAGGCAACACCAUCAAGACCAUAAACACCUGGGCCAUACCUGUCAUAAGAUAUACUGCUGGCAUUAUGAAUUGGACACAGGUGGAACUGGACAAUUUGGACAGAAAAAUAAGAAAACUCAUGGCCAUUCAUCAUUCCCUGCACCCUCGAAGUGAUGUUGACCGGCUAUAUCUGCCUAGAAGAUCGGAGGGCAGAGGACUCUUACAAGUAAAACAAGCAGUCAAAGAAGAAGAACAUGCCCUGGCAGAAUAUGUCAAGCAAAGUGAAGAACCUGCUUUGAUUGAAGUCAAAAAUCAGAAACUCCUCAAAACACAGCAGACAAAAAACCAGUACAAGAAAACCGCACUACAAACUAGAGCUGACAGCUGGCACAACAAAACACUGCAUGGAAAGUUCCUUGACAAAAUUGAAGGAAAAGCUGAUAAGGAGAAGACCUGGCUCUGGCUCACGAAUGGGACCCUGAAGAAGGAGACAGAAGGCCUGAUCCUUGCAGCCCAGGAGCAAGCCAUCAGAACAAAUGCAAUUAAGGCCAAGAUUGAAAAAUCAGCUGAUGACCCAAAAUGCAGACUGUGCAAGGAAACCGACGAAACCAUUGAUCAUAUCCUCAGCUGCUGUAAGAAAAUCACACAGACAGACUACAAACAGAGGCACAACUAUGUGGCCCAAAUGAUUCAUUGGAACUUAUGCCUCAAAUACCAGCUGCCAGCAGUAAAGAACUGGUGGGAUCACAAACCUGCAAAAGUAUUGGAAAAUGAGCACGCAAAGAUACUGUGGGACUUCCGAAUCCAGACUGACAAAGUUCUGGAAGACAACACACCAGACAUCACAGUUGUGGAAAAGAACAAGGUUUGGAUCAUUGAUGUCGCCAUCCCAGGUGACAGUCGCAUUGAAGAAAAACAACAGGAAAAACUCAGCCGCUAUCAGGACCUCAAGAUUGAACUUCAAAGACUCUGGCAGAAACCAGUGCAGAUGGUCCCGGUGGUGAUGGGCACACUGGGUGCCGUGCCAAAAGAUCUCAGCUGGCAUUUGGAAACAAUAGACAUUGACAAAAUCACCAUCUGCCAACUGCAAAAGGCCACCCUACUGGGAUCUGCACACAUCAUCAGAAAAUACAUCACACAGUCCUAG
Molecule: long non-coding RNA, 1359 nt
Filed under: Anolis carolinensis (green anole)
Lineage: Eukaryota; Metazoa; Chordata; Lepidosauria; Squamata; Anolidae
Description: lncRNA (ENSACAG00000041578.1)
Source: RNAcentral